Molecule: ribosomal RNA, 616 nt
Filed under: Ochthebius depressionis
Lineage: Eukaryota; Metazoa; Arthropoda; Insecta; Coleoptera; Hydraenidae
Description: partial 16S ribosomal RNA
Rfam family: Bacterial large subunit ribosomal RNA
Source: RNAcentral
GUCUUUUUGAUUAUAAUUUAAAGUCUGACCUGCCCAAUGAAUAUUUAAAUGGCCGCGGUAUUUUGACCGUGCAAAGGUAGCAUAAUCAUUAGUUUUUUAAUUGAAAGCUGGAAUGAAUGGUUGGACGAGAAAAUUACUGUCUCAAUUUAAUUUAAUUAGAAUUUUAUUUUUAAGUUAAAAAGCUUAAAUUUUUUUAAAAGACGAGAAGACCCUAUAGAGUUUAAUAUAAAUUUAUUUAUUUGUUUUUAUAAUUUUUAUUAUUUAAUUUUAUAUUUUAUUGGGGUGAUAAAUAAAUUUAAUUAACUUUAUUUAAUUUAUUACAUAUAUUUAUGAAUAAUUGAUCCAUUUUUUAUGAUUAUAAGAUAAAAUUACCUUAGGGAUAACAGCGUAAUUUUUUUUGAGAGUUCUAAUCGAAAAAAAAGAUUGCGACCUCGAUGUUGGAUUAAAAUUUAUUUUUGGUGUAGAAGCUAAAAUAUUAAGUCUGUUCGACUUUUAAAAUUUUACAUGAUCUGAGUUUAAACCGGUGUGAGCCAGGUUGGUUUCUAUCUUUAAAUAAAAUGAAAUAUUUUAGUACGAAAGGACCAAAUAUUUAUAAUAUUUAUUAAUUUAAGAAUAA